GUGCUCGCUUUGGCAGCACAUAUAAUAAAAUUGGAACGAUACAGAGAAGAUUAGCAUGGCCCCUGCAAGGAUGACACACAAAUUUGUGAAGCGUUCCAUAUUUUU
Camelus dromedarius (Arabian camel) is the source of this 105-nucleotide small nuclear RNA. Lineage: Eukaryota; Metazoa; Chordata; Mammalia; Artiodactyla; Camelidae. The record is from Ensembl.